This 403-nucleotide ribosomal RNA is filed under the name uncultured bacterium. RNAcentral's name for it is "partial 16S ribosomal RNA". It matches the Rfam family "Bacterial small subunit ribosomal RNA", at positions 30 to 526 of the family's 1533-position model. The record is from RNAcentral.
AUUGAACGCUGGCGGCAGGCCUAACACAUGCAAGUCGAGCGAGAGGCGGACGGGUGUGUAAUGUAUGGGGACUGCCCGAUAGAGGGGGAUAACAACGGGAAAAGGUAGCUAAUACCGCAUACUAUCGGAUAAACCCCAUGGGAUUAGCUAGUAGGUGAGGUAAUGGCUCACCUAGGCGCCGAUCCCUAGCUGGUCUGAGAGGAUGAUCAGCCACACUGGGACUGAGACACGGCCCAGACUCUUACGGCGGCAGCAGUGGGGAAUAUUCCACAAUGGGCGCAAGCCGUAUGCAGCAAUGCCGCGUGUGUGAAGAAGGCCCUCGGGUGGUAAAGUACUUUCAGUGGGGAGGCGUUACCGGCAGAAGAAGCACCGGCUAACUACGUGCCAGCAGCCGCGGUAAUUC